GACGAACGCUGGCGGCGUGCCUAAUACAUGCUAGUAGAACGCUGAAGAGAGGAGCUUGCUCUUCUUGGAUGAGUUGCGAACGGGUGAGUAACGCGUAGGUAACCUGCCUUGUAGCGGGGGAUAACUAUUGGAAACGAUAGCUAAUACCGCAUAACAAUGGAUGACUCAUGUCAUUUAUUUGAAAGGGGCAAAUGCUCCACUACAAGAUGGACCUGCGUUGUAUUAGCUAGUAGGUGAGGUAACGGCUCACCUAGGCGACGAUACAUAGCCGACCUGAGAGGGUGAUCGGCCACACUGGGACUGAGACACGGCCCAGACUCCUACGGGAGGCAGCAGUAGGGAAUCUUCGGCAAUGGGGGCAACCCUGACCGAGCAACGCCGCGUGAGUGAAGAAGGUUUUCGGAUCGUAAAGCUCUGUUGUAAGUCAAGAACGAGUGUGAGAGUGGAAAGUUCACACUGUGACGGUAGCUUACCAGAAAGGGACGGCUAACUACGUGCCAGCAGCCGCAGUAA
RNAcentral lists this ribosomal RNA (513 nucleotides) under uncultured bacterium. RNAcentral describes it as "partial 16S ribosomal RNA". It matches the Rfam family "Bacterial small subunit ribosomal RNA", at positions 28 to 523 of the family's 1533-position model. The record is from RNAcentral.